ACGUGCUCCGCCAUGACGAUCAACAAACUCCUCACCCUAGUCCGCCGUUCAAAUCGGCGGACUCCCAUCCUCUCCUCCAUCCGAUCCGUCUCCCUCUCCACCUCCGCUGCCGCACCUGUCACCCGCUCUCCACCCUCCCCACCUCCCUCACCUCCUCCUCCCAACGUAAUGGUCUACGAUCGAUUAGCUGAAUCGGUCAAAGCCAAACUCCAACGAUUGGAAAAUCCAGAUCCGCGAUUCCUCAAAUACGGUUC
RNAcentral lists this long non-coding RNA (254 nucleotides) under Lathyrus oleraceus (garden pea). RNAcentral describes it as "Pisum sativum (pea) long non-coding RNA (PSAT_LNC037731)". Lineage: Eukaryota; Viridiplantae; Streptophyta; Magnoliopsida; Fabales; Fabaceae. The record is from RNAcentral.